RNAcentral lists this ribosomal RNA (702 nucleotides) under uncultured marine microorganism. RNAcentral's name for it is "bacterial SSU rRNA". It matches the Rfam family "Bacterial small subunit ribosomal RNA", at positions 8 to 707 of the family's 1533-position model. The record is from RNAcentral.
AGAGUUUGAUCCUGGCUCAGAUUGAACGCUGGCGGCAGGCCUAACACAUGCAAGUCGAACGGUAACAUUUCUAGCUUGCUAGAAGAUGACGAGUGGCGGACGGGUGAGUAAUGCUUGGGAACUUGCCUUUGCGAGGGGGAUAACAGUUGGAAACGACUGCUAAUACCGCAUAAUGUCUUCGGACCAAACGGGGCUUAGGCUCCGGCGCAAAGAGAGGCCCAAGUGAGAUUAGCUAGUUGGUAAGGUAACGGCUUACCAAGGCGACGAUCUCUAGCUGUUCUGAGAGGAAGAUCAGCCACACUGGGACUGAGACACGGCCCAGACUCCUACGGGAGGCAGCAGUGGGGAAUAUUGCACAAUGGGGGAAACCCUGAUGCAGCCAUGCCGCGUGUGUGAAGAAGGCCUUCGGGUUGUAAAGCACUUUCAGUUGUGAGGAAAAGUUAGUAGUUAAUACCUGCUAGCCGUGACGUUAACAACAGAAGAAGCACCGGCUAACUCCGUGCCAGCAGCCGCGGUAAUACGGAGGGUGCGAGCGUUAAUCGGAAUUACUGGGCGUAAAGCGCACGCAGGCGGUUUGUUAAGCUAGAUGUGAAAGCCCCGGGCUCAACCUGGGAUGGUCAUUUAGAACUGGCAGACUAGAGUCUUGGAGAGGGGAGUGGAAUUCCAGGUGUAGCGGUGAAAUGCGUAGAUAUCUGGAGGAAC